GAUGAACGCUGGCGGCGUGCCUCAAACAUGCAAGUCGAGCGAGGCUAUGAAUUACCGCAAGGUAAGGCAUAGCCUAGCGGCGAACGGGUGAGUAACACGUGGGUAACCUACCUGGAAGACAGGGAUAACGAUUCGAAAGGGUCGCUAAUACCUGAUAAUAUCCGUCUGCCGGAUGGCGGAGGGAAGAAAGGGGAAACCCGCUUUCAGAUGGGCCCGCGUCCCAUCAGCUAGUUGGUAAGGUAAAGGCUUACCAAGGCGACGACGGGUAGCCGGUCUGAGAGGAUGUACGGCCACACUGGGACUGAGAUACGGCCCAGACUCCUACGGGAGGCAGCAGUUGGGAAUCUUAGGCAAUGGACGAAAGUCUGACCUAGCGACGCCGCGUGAGGGAAGAAGGCCUUCGGGUUGUAAACCUCUGUCAUGGGGAAGAAGGAAGUGACGGUACCCAAGAGGAAGCCCCUGCUAACUACGUG
RNAcentral lists this ribosomal RNA (473 nucleotides) under uncultured bacterium. RNAcentral's name for it is "bacterial SSU rRNA". It matches the Rfam family "Bacterial small subunit ribosomal RNA", at positions 28 to 507 of the family's 1533-position model. The record is from RNAcentral.